Molecule: ribosomal RNA, 1393 nt
Filed under: metagenome
Description: bacterial SSU rRNA
Rfam family: Bacterial small subunit ribosomal RNA
Source: RNAcentral
CGCUGACGAGUGGCGGACGGGUGAGUAAUGUCUGGGAAACUGCCUGAUGGAGGGGGAUAACUACUGGAAACGGUAGCUAAUACCGCAUAACGUCGCAAGACCAAAGAGGGGGACCCUCGGGCCUCUUGCCAUCGGAUGUGCCCAGAUGGGAUUAGCUUGUUGGUGGGGUAACGGCUCACCAAGGCGACGAUCCCUAGCUGGUCUGAGAGGAUGACCAGCCACACUGGAACUGAGACACGGUCCAGACUCCUACGGGAGGCAGCAGUGGGGAAUAUUGCACAAUGGGCGCAAGCCUGAUGCAGCCAUGCCGCGUGUAUGAAGAAGGCCUUCGGGUUGUAAAGUACUUUCAGCGGGGAGGAAGGGAGUAAAGUUAAUACCUUUGCUCAUUGACGUUACCCGCAGAAGAAGCACCGGCUAACUCCGUGCCAGCAGCCGCGGUAAUACGGAGGGUGCAAGCGUUAAUCGGAAUUACUGGGCGUAAAGCGCACGCAGGCGGUUUGUUAAGUCAGAUGUGAAAUCCCCGGGCUCAACCUGGGAACUGCAUCUGAUACUGGCAAGCUUGAGUCUCGUAGAGGGGGGUAGAAUUCCAGGUGUAGCGGUGAAAUGCGUAGAGAUCUGGAGGAAUACCGGUGGCGAAGGCGGCCCCCUGGACGAAGACUGACGCUCAGGUGCGAAAGCGUGGGGAGCAAACAGGAUUAGAUACCCUGGUAGUCCACGCCGUAAACGAUGUCGACUUGGAGGUUGUGCCCUUGAGGCGUGGCUUCCGGAGCUAACGCGUUAAGUCGACCGCCUGGGGAGUACGGCCGCAAGGUUAAAACUCAAAUGAAUUGACGGGGGCCCGCACAAGCGGUGGAGCAUGUGGUUUAAUUCGAUGCAACGCGAAGAACCUUACCUGGUCUUGACAUCCACGGAAGUUUUCAGAGAUGAGAAUGUGCCUUCGGGAACCGUGAGACAGGUGCUGCAUGGCUGUCGUCAGCUCGUGUUGUGAAAUGUUGGGUUAAGUCCCGCAACGAGCGCAACCCUUAUCCUUUGUUGCCAGCGGUCCGGCCGGGAACUCAAAGGAGACUGCCAGUGAUAAACUGGAGGAAGGUGGGGAUGUCGUCAAGUCAUCAUGGCCCUUACGACCAGGGCUACACACGUGCUACAAUGGCGCAUACAAAGAGAAGCGACCUCGCGAGAGCAAGCGGACCUCAUAAAGUGCGUCGUAGUCCGGAUUGGAGUCUGCAACUCGACUCCAUGAAGUCGGAAUCGCUAGUAAUCGUGGAUCAGAAUGCCACGGUGAAUACGUUCCCGGGCCUUGUACACACCGCCCGUCACACCAUGGGAGUAGGUUGCAAAAGAAGUAAGUAGCUUAACCUUCGGGAGGGCGCUUACCACUUUGUGAUUCAUGACU